ACACCGGCAGCCCGAGUGGUGGCCACUAUUAUUGGGCCUAAAGCGUCCGUAGCCGGUCCGGUAAGUCCCUGUGGAAAUCCUCAGGCUCAACCUGAGGAAAUGCGGGGAUACUGCCGGACUCGGGGCCGGGAGACGCGGAGGGUACUCCAGGGGUAGCGGUGAAAUGCUGUAAUCCCUGGGGGACCACCAGUGGCGAAGGCGCUCCGCGAGAACGGGCCCGACGGUGAGGGACGAAAGCCAGGGGAGCGAACGGGAUUAGAAACCCUAGUAGUCC
This 274-nucleotide ribosomal RNA is filed under the name uncultured bacterium. RNAcentral describes it as "partial 16S ribosomal RNA". It matches the Rfam family "Archaeal small subunit ribosomal RNA", at positions 473 to 747 of the family's 1478-position model. The record is from RNAcentral.